CCAUAUGCAUACAUGAGUGCUCUACAGAGAUGAUGGUACAUAUCUGAUUCACUAAUGUUGGAAUGGAAGGCAUUGGGGAUUACACGCGACAUGGGGUUUUUAGUGUCAUCCACGGAUUCUCUAUGUACACGUGAUGUUAACACCUGAAUGGCCACCACUAAUGAGAUAAGGCCGGUUAAGUGUAAUCAGCUGCAGCUUAUACAUAGAGCCAAAUAAAGGAAACAUUGUCUGAUGGUAUCGAAAGCAAUGUUU
RNAcentral lists this long non-coding RNA (252 nucleotides) under Oryza brachyantha (malo sina). Its description in RNAcentral is "long non-coding RNA (OBRA_LNC001097)". The record is from RNAcentral. Lineage: Eukaryota; Viridiplantae; Streptophyta; Magnoliopsida; Poales; Poaceae.